Long non-coding RNA from Hylaeus anthracinus, 1418 nucleotides. RefSeq lists it as uncharacterized. Lineage: Eukaryota; Metazoa; Arthropoda; Insecta; Hymenoptera; Colletidae. The record is from RefSeq and is a predicted model, not a curated record. The transcript is spliced from 2 exons.
AAAAUUUUAACUUUAUUGAAAUUUUCACGAGUUUUAGCUUGGCAGCCAACGUGUUAAUAAACUUCUUCCUGUAGUCGGUAAUGACUUGAUUUGCGCGCUGAAAGUGCUGAAAGAAGUUUUUUGCUCGCGACACUCGUGUCAGUAACGUUCUGCGAGUCGAUCCGUCAACAACGAUACAAAUGUACCACGUGAAACCGUUAAAUCUGUUCUUCUUUAAGCCGGCGACUGACUUGCAACAGAACAUUGUAAUGUAACGCGAGGAUUCGCUUAAUUUGGACGAACUCUUGCGUUCGACCGUGCUCCUCUGGUCUGUCGGUUUUUUGACGAACCUCUUUGGUCGUCUACUUCUCACUGAACUGAGUGGGAAGCAUCGAGAGAGAAUUCAGCCGAGAGUGCGAAGCGAGCAUUCGUGAUUCCAAAAACAACCUUGUAAUGUAACGCUGGUGCCGAACCGUACAAUUCGCGCCGAGCAGUUACAUUACAGCGUUCGGUUGCAAGUCAGUCACCGGCUUUAACAACCACGCCCAAAAAGUAUGAAAGUAUCCCCACAUUCCUUUUUUACAUGGCGAGUAUUCAACGAAUAAUUAUGUAUUUAUUAUGUAAACGAAACUUCGAAACGAACGUGCUUAGUGUUAGAGACCCGUCACACCGUGGCCCUCCGUGAUUAAUUAACAUUAACAAUCCAGUGUAUCGCUUUUAUCGAAUACAAUUUAUCUGGACGCUCGACAAAAGGCGUCCCCUCAAUGGUAUUCGUAUAUAUACAUAUAUUUAAUAAGUGCGUUUCUUUUGUCGUGUUUCAAUCUUUCCAAGCAUUUUGUUUUGUUUUCCUUAUUUUUAAUUACUAUUACGGAAUUGUAACAUGAUUGUAGACGCGCUGUGGGCCGUCACGAGUGUCCACACAAUAUGUUUAGAUUUAUUGUGACUGUGCGCCGAGAAAAAUUGUUAGCGCGAUGGCGUGAAAACGGGAGCGUUCACGAUGCGUUAUUAAAUAUGUAUAAAAUGAAAGGAAAUGAAUUGUUAGGUAGGCCAAGAAUUUUUAACGUAUAAAAUGUCUUCGAAUCGUGGCUCCUCGUCGGCUGUAAUUUAAUGCGUAAUGUAAGUUACAUGCGAUACGACGGAUGUACAAGUGGAAUCAGAGAUUGGGAAAAUUGUAUCGAUGAACUAUUUUUAAUCUCUAAUUUUGUUCGGUGUGAAUUACAAUUUAAAUUGUAGGAUGAAAUUGUAUUUCACGUUAAACGAAUAAGUACUUGUACGAAUGAAUCGCUAUGUUGUGCUUCUAUUCGUCGUCUACGAUUUAAACAAUAUUUUUCCCAUCUCUGAACGGAGUAUUUCCCAGUACGAUAUCAUACUGAUGCGUGAAUUAUAACGUACUUUAUCGAUCGUAUACCUACGAUAUUGUUUGACGUAGUCUUUUUUUU